This 552-nucleotide ribosomal RNA is filed under the name [Eubacterium] saphenum. RNAcentral's name for it is "bacterial SSU rRNA". It matches the Rfam family "Bacterial small subunit ribosomal RNA", at positions 370 to 943 of the family's 1533-position model. Lineage: Bacteria; Bacillati; Bacillota; Clostridia; Peptostreptococcales; Anaerovoracaceae. The record is from RNAcentral.
AAUGGGGGAAACCCUGAUGCAGCAACGACCGCGUGAGUAUGAAGGCCUUUGGGUGUGUGAAGCCUCUGUCCUAGGGGAAGAAAAAAAUGACGGUACCCGAGGAGGAAGCCCCGGCUAACUACGUGCCAGCAGCCGCGGUAAUACGUAGGGGGCAAGCGUUAUCCGGAAUUAUUGGGCGUAAAGAGUGCGUAGGUGGUCUACUAAGCGCGAGGUGAAAGGCAAUGGCUCAACCAUUGUUAGCCUUGUGAACUGGCAGACUUGAGUGCAAGAGAGGAAAGCGGAAUUCCUAGUGUAGCGGUGAAAUGCGCAGAUAUUAGGAGGAACACCGGCGGCGAAGGCGGCUUUCUGGAUUGUAACUGACACUGAGGCACGAAAGCGUGGGUAGCAAACAGGAUUAGAUACCCUGGUAGUCCACGCCGUAAACGAUGAGCACUAGGUGUCGGGACAUGAGUCUCGGUGCCGCAGUUAACGCCAUAAGUGCUCCGCCUGGGGAGUACGCACGCAAGUGUAAACUCAAGGAAUUGACGGGACCGCACAGCAGCGGAGCAUGUG